UUCUCUCUCUGGGUGUGGGAUGGGCUACGGAAACUGGCAAAGUUCAAAGAAUGCAUAGAGCUAUAAAAAUGUUUGGAAAACUGUCUGAGUUUAUUUUCACAAACAAACUUCAGUACUUUUUCAGGAGUGGAAUGUUUCUUAAAUUGUCUUGAAAAA
This is a long non-coding RNA of Dermochelys coriacea (leatherback sea turtle), 156 nucleotides long. RefSeq lists it as uncharacterized. The record is from RefSeq and is a predicted model, not a curated record. NCBI's taxonomy places the organism in Eukaryota, Metazoa, Chordata, Testudines, Dermochelyidae. The transcript has 3 exons.